RNAcentral lists this ribosomal RNA (590 nucleotides) under uncultured Arcobacter sp. RNAcentral's name for it is "bacterial SSU rRNA". It matches the Rfam family "Bacterial small subunit ribosomal RNA", at positions 68 to 673 of the family's 1533-position model. Lineage: Bacteria; Pseudomonadati; Campylobacterota; Epsilonproteobacteria; Campylobacterales; Arcobacteraceae. The record is from RNAcentral.
CAGAGAUUAGCUUGCUUUAUUUGUCAGCUAAGUGGCGCACGGGUGAGUAAUGUAUAGAUAACCUGCCCUUAAGAAAGGAAUAACAGUUGGAAACGACUGCUAAUGCCCUAUAUGCCUUUAAUACAUAAGUAUGCAAGGGAAACGCUUUAGUGCUUAAGGAUGGGUCUGUAUGGUAUCAGCUUGUUGGUGAGGUAAUGGCUCACCAAGGCUAUGACGCCUAACUGGUUUGAGAGGAUGAUCAGUCACACUGGAACUGAGACACGGUCCAGACUCCUACGGGAGGCAGCAGUGGGGAAUAUUGCACAAUGGACGAAAGUCUGAUGCAGCAACGCCGCGUGGAGGAUGACACAUUUCGGUGCGUAAACUCCUUUUAUAUAGGAAGAUAAUGACGGUACUAUAUGAAUAAGCACCGGCUAACUCCGUGCCAGCAGCCGCGGUAAUACGGAGGGUGCAAGCGUUACUCGGAAUCACUGGGCGUAAAGAGCGUGUAGGCGGGUAUAUAAGUCAGAAGUGAAAUCCUAUAGCUUAACUAUAGAACUGCUUUUGAAACUGUAUACCUAGAAUAUGGGAGAGGUAGAUGGAAUUUCUGG